CAAAAAAUAGUUUAAUAAAAUAAUAAUUUUGGAGAUUAUAGAUAAAGAUUUUUCUUUUUUUUUGA
RNAcentral lists this transfer RNA (65 nucleotides) under Cechenena minor. Its description in RNAcentral is "tRNA-Pro". The record is from RNAcentral. Lineage: Eukaryota; Metazoa; Arthropoda; Insecta; Lepidoptera; Sphingidae.